CACCGACACCCUUUGUCCCAAAUUUCUUGUCUUAGAUUUGUCUAGAUACGGAUGUAUCUAAUAUCUAAUACUAAAAUGUGACUUGAUACAUCCAUAUCUAGACAAAUCUAAGACAGGAAUUUUGGGACGGAGGGAGUACUUU
Molecule: non-coding RNA, 142 nt
Organism: Triticum aestivum (bread wheat)
Lineage: Eukaryota; Viridiplantae; Streptophyta; Magnoliopsida; Poales; Poaceae
Source: Rfam